RNAcentral lists this long non-coding RNA (223 nucleotides) under Strongylocentrotus purpuratus (purple sea urchin). Its description in RNAcentral is "uncharacterized LOC115925353". The record is from RNAcentral. Lineage: Eukaryota; Metazoa; Echinodermata; Echinoidea; Camarodonta; Strongylocentrotidae.
UCAGAAUGAAGGAGUUUGCACUGAUGGAGACAACACCUUUACUUGUGUCUGUGCUGAUGGCUGGACUGGGACUACGUGUGAGGAUACCGACGAAUGUUUUGCCGUUCCUUGUAAGAAUGAAGGAGUUUGCACUGAUGGAGACAACACCUUUACUUGUGUCUGUGCUGAUGGCUGGACUGGGACUACGUGUGAAGAUACCGACGAAUGUUUUGACGUUCCUUGU